This 433-nucleotide ribosomal RNA is filed under the name uncultured bacterium. Its description in RNAcentral is "partial 16S ribosomal RNA". It matches the Rfam family "Bacterial small subunit ribosomal RNA", at positions 29 to 507 of the family's 1533-position model. The record is from RNAcentral.
AGCGAACGCUGGCGGCAGGCCUAACACAUGCAAGUCGAACGAACUCUUCGGAGUUAGUGGCGGACGGGUGAGUAACACGUGGGAACGUGCCUUUUGGUUCGGAAUAACUCAGGGAAACUUGUGCUAAUACCGAAUGUGCCCUUCGGGGGAAAGAUUUAUCGCCAUUAGAGCGGCCCGCGUCUGAUUAGCUAGUUGGUGAGGUAACGGCUCACCAAGGCGACGAUCAGUAGCUGGUCUGAGAGGAUGACCAGCCACACUGGGACUGAGACACGGCCCAGACUCCUACGGGAGGCAGCAGUGGGGAAUCUUGCGCAAUGGGCGAAAGCCUGACGCAGCCAUGCCGCGUGAAUGAUGAAGGUCUUAGGAUUGUAAAAUUCUUUCACCGGGGACGAUAAUGACGGUAGCCGGAGAAGAAGCCCCGGCUAACUUCGUG